CGGCCGCGGUAUUUUGACCGUGCAAAGGUAGCGUAAUCACUUGUCUUUUAAAUGAAGACCUGUAUGAAUGGCAUCACGAGGGCUUAACUGUCUCCUUUUUCUAAGUCAGUGAAAUUGAUCUCCCCGUGCAGAAGCGGGGAUAAAAACAUAAGACGAGAAGACCCUAUGGAGCUUUAGACACCAGAAUAGCGCAUGUUAAGACACCCUAAAUAAAGGACUGAACUUAAUGACCCCUCUAUUCCAAUGUCUUCGGUUGGGGCGACCAUGAGGAACAAAAACCCCUCAUGUGGAAUGGGAGUACCACAACCCACACACUAUUUUUCCUACACUCCUACAACCAAGAGCUACAACUCAAACUAACAGAAAUUCUGACCAACAAUGAUCCGGCAAUACCGAUCAACGGACCAAGUUACCCUAGGGAUAACAGCGCAAUCCCCUUUUAGAGCCCAUAUCGACAAGGGGGUUUACGACCUCGAUGUUGGAUCAGGACAUCC
Molecule: ribosomal RNA, 494 nt
Filed under: Lates calcarifer (barramundi perch)
Lineage: Eukaryota; Metazoa; Chordata; Actinopteri; Centropomidae
Description: partial 16S ribosomal RNA
Rfam family: Bacterial large subunit ribosomal RNA
Source: RNAcentral